GUUAUAAGUAUGUAGAAGAAAAAUAUUGAAAAGGCAUUUGAAAAAAAUAUGGUAAGAUUUUGUGUGUUUGAAUUGAGAAAAUUAGUCUUUUUGUUGUUGUGUGUUGAUUGACUUUUUUUUGUUAGAUAAUUGAUAGAGUGGUUGCAAUAGAGGAAGAGCUAAAAUAUGACAUAGUCAAUGCUUCUCUGUUUGAACAAGGACAACAAUUUGUGGAUGUUAUUGAUUAUCAUAGAUUGGUGACUGAGAAUAAAGAUUUCAAAGAGAGAAUAGCAGUUCUU
This 278-nucleotide long non-coding RNA is filed under the name Lathyrus oleraceus (garden pea). Its description in RNAcentral is "Pisum sativum (pea) long non-coding RNA (PSAT_LNC001452)". Lineage: Eukaryota; Viridiplantae; Streptophyta; Magnoliopsida; Fabales; Fabaceae. The record is from RNAcentral.